This 429-nucleotide ribosomal RNA is filed under the name Acidobacteriota bacterium. Its description in RNAcentral is "Acidobacteria bacterium partial 16S ribosomal RNA". It matches the Rfam family "Bacterial small subunit ribosomal RNA", at positions 355 to 776 of the family's 1533-position model. Lineage: Bacteria; Pseudomonadati; Acidobacteriota. The record is from RNAcentral.
UGGGGAAUUUUGGACAAUGGGGGAAACCCUGAUCCAGCCAUCCCGCGUGUGCGAUGAAGGCCUUCGGGUUGUAAAGCACUUUUGGCAGGAAAGAAACGUCAUGGGUUAAUACCCCGUGAAACUGACGGUACCUGCAGAAUAAGCACCGGCUAACUACGUGCCAGCAGCCGCGGUAAUACGUAGGGUGCAAGCGUUAAUCGGAAUUACUGGGCGUAAAGCGUGCGCAGGCGGUUCUGAAAGAAAGAUGUGAAAUCCCAGAGCUCAACUUUGGAACUGCAUUUUUAACUACCGGGCUAGAGUGUGUCAGAGGGAGGUGGAAUUCCGCGUGUAGCAGUGAAAUGCGUAGAUAUGCGGAGGAACACCGAUGGCGAAGGCAGCCUCCUGGGAUAACACUGACGCUCAUGCACGAAAGCGUGGGGAGCAAACAGG